GUAACACAGACGCUCAGUGAUGGUGAGUCCCUAGCAUUGGAACUGACUGUCCUUCUCCUUCAUUUCAUCCCAGCUAGGACCUGGGGCGUCACGAUAGACUUCCGGAACAGAUACUCAAACAGCAGUUCCAAGAACAGCAAACGCUGGGAGGAGACAGUGAGGGAGACUAGGCGAGAAAUGGAUAAGGAGCCUUCCAGGUGGUGAUGCUCUUCUAGACUCUAAUCCCAUUUUACUCAAGACACAGUGUCACACAGUAAUAAAAAGGACAUCCCUGGUCCUAACUAGAGCUAAUCUGAGAA
This is a long non-coding RNA of Neomonachus schauinslandi (Hawaiian monk seal), 299 nucleotides long. RefSeq lists it as uncharacterized. The record is from RefSeq and is a predicted model, not a curated record. NCBI's taxonomy places the organism in Eukaryota, Metazoa, Chordata, Mammalia, Carnivora, Phocidae. The transcript is spliced from 4 exons.